AUUGAACGCUGGCGGAAUGCUUACACAAGCAAGUCGAACGGCAGCACGGACUUCGGUCUGGUGGCGAGUGGCGAACGGGUGAGUAAUGUAUCGGAACGUGCCCAGUCGUGGGGGAUAACGUAGUGAAAAUUACGCUAAUACCGCAUACGAUCUAUGGAUGAAAGCGGGGGAUCGCAAGACCUCGCGCGAUUGGAGCGGCCGAUAUCAGAUUAGGUAGUUGGUGGGGUAAAGGCCCACCAAGCCAACGAUCUGUAGCUGGUCUGAGAGGACGACCAGCCACACUGGAACUGAGACACGGUCCAGACUCCUACGGGAGGCAGCAGUGGGGAAUUUUGGACAAUGGGCGAAAGCCUGAUCCAGCCAUUCCGCGUGCAGGAUGAAGGCCCUCGGGUUGUAAACUGCUUUUGUACAGAACGAAAAGGUUACUACUAAUACUAGGAGCUCAUGACGGUACUGUAAGAAUAAGCACCGGCUAACUACGUGCCAGCCGCCGCAGUAA
RNAcentral lists this ribosomal RNA (499 nucleotides) under uncultured bacterium. RNAcentral's name for it is "partial 16S ribosomal RNA". It matches the Rfam family "Bacterial small subunit ribosomal RNA", at positions 30 to 523 of the family's 1533-position model. The record is from RNAcentral.